CACGUAGUUGGCCGGUGCUUCUUCUACCAGUACCGUCAGAAACCCUUCGUCCUGGUCGAAAGAGGUUUACAACCCGAAGGCCGUCAUCCCCCACGCGGCGUCGCUGCGUCAGGCUUCCGCCCAUUGCGCAAUAUUCCCCACUGCUGCCUCCCGUAGGAGUCUGGGCCGUGUCUCAGUCCCAGUGUGGCCGGUCGCCCUCUCAGGCCGGCUACCCGUCGUCGCCUUGGUAGGCCAUCACCCCACCAACAAGCUGAUAGGCCGCGGGCCCAUCCCCAGCCGAAAAAACUUUCCACCACCCACCAUGCGAUGAGAAGUGAAUAUCCAGUAUUAGACCCAGUUUCCCAGGCUUAUCCCAGAGCUGAGGGCAGGUCACCCACGUGUUACUCACCCGUUCGCCGCUCGUGUACCCCCGAAGAGGCCUUACCGCUCGACUUGCAUGUGUUAAGCACGCCGCCAGCGUUCGUCCUGAGCCAGGAUCAAACUCU
RNAcentral lists this ribosomal RNA (485 nucleotides) under uncultured Pseudonocardia sp. RNAcentral describes it as "partial 16S ribosomal RNA". Lineage: Bacteria; Bacillati; Actinomycetota; Actinomycetes; Pseudonocardiales; Pseudonocardiaceae. The record is from RNAcentral.